UGAUUUCCUUAGAGGCAAAGUCAGGCGGAGAC
RNAcentral lists this non-coding RNA (32 nucleotides) under Homo sapiens (human). Lineage: Eukaryota; Metazoa; Chordata; Mammalia; Primates; Hominidae. The record is from RNAcentral.